This 1522-nucleotide ribosomal RNA is filed under the name metagenome. Its description in RNAcentral is "bacterial SSU rRNA". It matches the Rfam family "Bacterial small subunit ribosomal RNA". The record is from RNAcentral.
AGAGUUUGAUCAUGGCUCAGAUUGAACGCUGGCGGCAGGCCUAACACAUGCAAGUCGAACGGUAACAGGAAACAGCUUGCUGUUUCGCUGACGAGUGGCGGACGGGUGAGUAAUGUCUGGGAAACUGCCUGAUGGAGGGGGAUAACUACUGGAAACGGUAGCUAAUACCGCAUAACGUCGCAAGACCAAAGAGGGGGACCUUCGGGCCUCUUGCCAUCAGAUGUGCCCAGAUGGGAUUAGCUAGUAGGUGGGGUAACGGCUCACCUAGGCGACGAUCCCUAGCUGGUCUGAGAGGAUGACCAGCCACACUGGAACUGAGACACGGUCCAGACUCCUACGGGAGGCAGCAGUGGGGAAUAUUGCACAAUGGGCGCAAGCCUGAUGCAGCCAUGCCGCGUGUAUGAAGAAGGCCUUCGGGUUGUAAAGUACUUUCAGCGGGGAGGAAGGGAGUAAAGUUAAUACCUUUGCUCAUUGACGUUACCCGCAGAAGAAGCACCGGCUAACUCCGUGCCAGCAGCCGCGGUAAUACGGAGGGUGCAAGCGUUAAUCGGAAUUACUGGGCGUAAAGCGCACGCAGGCGGUUUGUUAAGUCAGAUGUGAAAUCCCCGGGCUCAACCUGGGAACUGCAUCUGAUACUGGCAAGCUUGAGUCUCGUAGAGGGGGGUAGAAUUCCAGGUGUAGCGGUGAAAUGCGUAGAGAUCUGGAGGAAUACCGGUGGCGAAGGCGGCCCCCUGGACGAAGACUGACGCUCAGGUGCGAAAGCGUGGGGAGCAUACAGGAUUAGAUACCCUGGUAGUCCACGCCGUAAACGAUGUCGACUUGGAGGUUGUGCCCUUGAGGCGUGGCUUCCGGAGCUAACGCGUUAAGUCGACCGCCUGGGGAGUACGGCCGCAAGGUUAAAACUCAAAUGAAUUGACGGGGGCCCGCACAAGCGGUGGAGCAUGUGGUUUAAUUCGAUGCAACGCGAAGAACCUUACCUGGUCUUGACAUCCACGGAAGUUUUCAGAGAUGAGAAUGUGCCUUCGGGAACCGUGAGACAGGUGCUGCAUGGCUGUCGUCAGCUCGUGUUGUGAAAUGUUGGGUUAAGUCCCGCAACGAGCGCAACCCUUAUCCUUUGUUGCCAGCGGUCCGGCCGGGAACUCAAAGGAGACUGCCAGUGAUAAACUGGAGGAAGGUGGGGAUGACGUCAAGUCAUCAUGGCCCUUACGACCAGGUCUACACACGUGCUACAAUGGCGCAUACAAAGAGAAGCGACCUCGCGAGAGCAAGCGGACCUCAUAAAGUGCGUCGUAGUCCGGAUUGGAGUCUGCAACUCGACUCCAUGAAGUCGGAAUCGCUAGUAAUCGUGGACCAGAAUGGCACGGUGAAUACGUUCCCGGGCCUUGUACACACCGCCCGUCACACCAUGGGAGUGGGUUGCAAAAGAAGUAGGUAGCUUAACCUUCGGGAGGGCGCUUACCACUUUGUGAUUCAUGACUGGGGUGAAGUCGGAACAAGGUAACCGUAGGGGAACCUGCGGUUG